CAUUCCCUACGGGGGGCAGCAGUAGGGAAUCUUCCACAAUGGACGAAAGUCUGAUGGAGCAACGCCGCGUGAGUGAAGAAGGGUUUCGGCUCGUAAAGCUCUGUUGGUAGUGAAGAAAGAUAGAGGGAGUAACUGGGCUUUAUUUGACGGUAAUUACUUAGAAAGUCACGGCUAACUAAGUGCCAGCAGCCGCGGUAAUACAUAGGUGGCAAGCGUUAUCCGGAUUUAUUGGGCGUAAAGCGAGUGCAGGCGGUU
Molecule: ribosomal RNA, 255 nt
Filed under: uncultured bacterium
Lineage: Bacteria
Description: partial 16S ribosomal RNA
Rfam family: Bacterial small subunit ribosomal RNA
Source: RNAcentral